UGAACCAGUGACCGCGGCGUGUGAGGACGUCACCUUGUGUGUUUGCUGCUGACGCCGGACGCUGCACUUUGUGUUUGGACAAUAAGAACCAGUAAACAGGACCGUCACCCGUGGCCUCUGUUCUCCACAUGAUGGAGGCAGGACGGAUCACCAGAGUCCUUUGUCUUCAUCUGGCUUGAAAUGUUGUUGUUGCUGUUAUAAAUACUUUGCAGCUCGAUGAUCAGGUCUGUGUUCUUUGUUCGACUGCUGUGCAGGUACAGAAUGUGGGCCUCCGCCUUCUUUUUCAGGUUUAAACUUCAGGUUUUUUUUAUGUAAGUGAGCUAAACCUUCGACGCCAUCUUGACUCCAUUGGCAGAAACACUGAUAAAUAAUAUAUUAGGGUUUUUUCUAACAGUGCUUCAUAUUUUGCAGCCGGAAACAUCUGUUGCUCUGUUACACAUCUUCCCGUCUUCUCAGGAAUCCUAAGAAUAAAAUGCAUUGACACUUUAAACCAUGUAAACAAAGCUGCUUUGGUGCUUUUUUCUACUCAGGUCUGCAGCGAAUUAAGGGAGAGCAGGAAGAUGCUCAACGAGCUGCAGACUGAGCGUGUAAUUCCCUCCAUGUUUGCUUCCUCAGGGUUCACUCACCCACUUCCUCUCAUCCUCCAUGCGUCUCCGUCUGAAGGACCCCCCCCCCCCCCCCCCUUGUGCUGGUGUUUUCUCUCACCUAGUACAGAAACGCCGCACAAUUAAAGCUGCAACAAAUUGUUUCUCUCACCUGUUUGUUAGGAGCCUGUGUCCAAACCUGCGAGUGGAAGUCGAAGCGCUUCGGUCACGGCUCGGUGUUCAGAGAAAAAGACGCCGCGCGGUGAUUCCAGCGUAGCCGUGUUGUGUUGCUCCCUCUCCUCUGUGGGUAUUAACCUCUGCCUGUGGCGCUGAAGGCCUCCUAAAAAAUUCAUAGCCAAUGAAACCGCGUGGUUCAGCAUGACAGAUUGGAUUUUCAUCACGAGUCGUCGCGGUUGAGUGAACGCUUUGCUUUCUACCGUGUGUCAUCAAUCCCUCUUCUUCCACAUGUGUUUUGGGCUGCGUUUCAUCUUUCUUGAGGUUUUUAGCCCGUCAGCGCAUUUUUGUCUCUGCUCUAAUAAAAUUCCCUCACCUCACACAUCGGUCGCUAAGCCUGCAUCCAUAGUCAUUGUGUGUAAGUAAAUAUGAGGAACCGCUGCGUUCUGCCUCCAUCCCAGCAGGUUUAGGCCCAGUAGCCGGUUCUGGAGCUGUCCGGGCCUCAGUGGAUGAGCUGGUGGCAGCAUUGGAGACAUGACGGCAUCUAAAUGGAUCAUUGCAUGGAUUCUGCAGGUGUCGGAGCUGUAGACCCAUUUUCUCCUUCUAUCUUUUGACCUCUUUUGGUUGAAGUUUGAGCAAGUUCAGAGCUGGUGGAUGCUGGUGGGCAGCUCAGACUGUGCUUAGCAUGACUCACAGUCUGCUCUGGUGUCUCAGUGGACAAACACAAUGGCCCUUGUACACAAUAGUCUCUCUCCCGCUGGAAUGCGAAACACGCUCGAGCCGUUUCCGAUACUAUAUAUCUGAGUAUUGUGUUACAUGAGGGCUCAGCGUUGUACAAACACGCACCGCUCUGACCCCUGUGACUUUAACGGUCAUUAGCCGUGCUAGCACUGAAUCAUCAGUCCGAUUAUUAUGCGCAAUGGAAAAGUUCCCCAGGAAGGAAGUGCCAGCACGCUGCUGAGGUCGGUGCCUGGAUGCUGAGGUCUGCUGGGAUCUGUGGUGCUUUCAGGAACAUUAGGGUGAUUACCACGUGCUCAGACUCCCAACCGCUGCUCUCCUCCCUCUGUGUGGGAGUGUGGGUCCUGGAGAAUGAGGCCGUGUGGGAUCCUGUUGUGUCUCUGUGACACUGCAGCUUGACUGGAGAAUGAUUUCCAACGGCCUCGAGAUCCGUUACGUAACGUCACAGCACAAGUUACGCAACGUGAUCUGCUCACAGGAGCCGUCCAUCAGAACGAUGCGAAGCGUCGCCAGCUGUGCUACUUAGCGUCUGCAGCCAUCGGUGGGGACGGCGGCGUCCUGGCGGCUCUGCUGCGACCGGGCGCUUCCCGUUAAUCUGCUGCUUUCCAGCCUGCGCCCUCAUUUGCAUGCAACGCGCCGCCGCUGGCUAGAAACCGCCCCCUCUCCUCAAGUGAUGCUCAGACAGAGGAGCUUUAGUGGCGACUGGUUCUAGAUGAGGUGGUAAAACCCGUGAACAUCUGUGUGAUGACGAUCCAUCCAAUAUAUGAAUGUUUGCUCGCCCGGUGAGCUUUGCUGUGGUUUUCAGAAACCCUCUGCGCACAUUCCUCCACUUUGCACUUUGUUUUCGCGGCCUCCUCUCCCUCGCAGCCUGUUUUGUCCCCCAUGCCCUGAUGAGUCACUUCCAUUAUCAAAUACCCGACUAAUUCCCCUACUUAAUCUCUUGCUUUGCUUCUUUUCUCUUUCUCUCUCCCCCCGUUCCUCUCACAUGCUAACCAAACCAAUACUUCUCUUUUUUCCCCUUUUAUCUCCACUGAGCAAGAUAAGCCACAGCGGGGCACCGGGUCACGAAGCCUGUGGAAUGACGGCGGCCUUUCCUGCCGAGCGCUGGGGAAAAACACUUCAUUUGUCUGGGUUCACAGUGUCAUUUUCCCAGAGUCGCACAAGGAGAGUUCACAUCACCACUCUUUGUGUCUCUGCUUUCUCACCUUGGACCUUCACGCUGCUUCUUCAAGUCACAGCCCGUUCACUGAGCGGCUGCGGCGUCGUUUUUCUUAAACACCAGGAUGCAGUCGGAGCUGGUAGAGAGGAGAAGGGGAAUUUUUUUGUUGUCUAAGCCCGUGGCUGACUGGUAGGGUGGAGCGGUGAGGAAUGCACUAAUCACGCAAGUGCUGCCGUGCCUUUGCCAACUGCCCGGCCUUUUGUCUGCACUGGGAAACCAGAACCAGGCUUUGCGUAUUUCUCUCUUUCUGCACAAACAGUGAGAGUGGGAAAUAGUUUUUGUGUGCUUUCUAGGAAGGCCCCCCCCCCCCCCCCCCCAAACUUCCCAACCCUGUCUUCUUUCCUUGCUGUGACAGCCUGAGAGAAGAAUAGGUGGUAUUCAGCGCCUGGUGUCCUUUGUACCUGUCCACCUGUCCUUUCAUGCCAUCCAACGCGUCAUCAGCGGUCACAGGCUUCAGUCUGGGUUCCUCCUGCGGUUAAUGCGAGUUAAGUGUUGGGUGAUGGCGGCGGCAAAGAACCAGAUGAUCACGGUAUCAAAUUAAGAACAGCUAGUGAGGACUACAUGUCAAACCACGGUGUUGCUUGGAACGGAGCUUCACAAUAACAGGUUGGGCAGAGGAUCUAUUUACUAUAAACAAGUGGCCUCCACAUAAUUAUUCUAAUAAAUGUUACCUUUACAGCCAUCAUAACCUCAUUAAAUCAUAAUUAACUCAUGUUAUUCCUGUCUGUUAAGUCACAGUUUGACCUGCAAAAGAGACCAGACACACAUAAUCACAUGCUUUAUUAUAAGGUACUAAGGUAAUUUGAAAUGAGCCUUGUUCCAUUUGUUUGAUUUUGGAUGGACCAAGCAUUUUGGUGUUUGGCGUCUUAAACCAAGACUUGAGCGCUUUCGUGCUCCAAAUUCCAUUUAGUCUGCGGGGAAACGGAGUUAACUGCUGCUUUAUGGUUGAAGAUGCAGCGUUGAUUGCUCCUUUACACAGAGCAGAUGGCAGCUCCAGUGUCCCCAGUGUGUUCUUGGCCUUAAGGGCCGACAAACGGCAGCACGUGCUGAGGCGCCCGGCACGGGAAAACCUCUGCCUCAAAAAGAUAAGCAGCUGCUUUGACCCCGUUAAAUGGGAAGGAUGCGUCCGAUGUAUAAGGAAAGAGAGAGAGUAAACCAGUGUUAGCUCCAAGGAAAAUGACAUAUUCACACACAAACGCAGGCUUCCUAUACAGCAUCUGCCUUUAUCGGCUCCCGCUGAAGCUGAACCGCAGCACAAAGCUCUGACUUUAGGUCUCCAAUCCAGGCGAAAUUGGAAAAAAGUGGAAAUU
This is a long non-coding RNA of Betta splendens (Siamese fighting fish), 4025 nucleotides long. RefSeq lists it as uncharacterized. The transcript has 2 exons. The record is from RefSeq and is a predicted model, not a curated record. Lineage: Eukaryota; Metazoa; Chordata; Actinopteri; Anabantiformes; Osphronemidae.